This 253-nucleotide ribosomal RNA is filed under the name uncultured bacterium. RNAcentral describes it as "partial 16S ribosomal RNA". It matches the Rfam family "Bacterial small subunit ribosomal RNA", at positions 524 to 776 of the family's 1533-position model. RNAcentral also lists the same sequence under 1 other name. The record is from RNAcentral.
UACGUAGGUGGCAAGCGUUGUCCGGAUUUAUUGGGUUUAAAGGGUGCGUAGGCGGUCUUAUAAGUCAGUGGUGAAAUACGGCAGCUCAACUGUCGAGGUGCCAUUGAUACUGUAGGACUUGAGUACAGACGAGGUAGGCGGAAUUGACGGUGUAGCGGUGAAAUGCUUAGAUAUCGUCAAGAACACCGAUAGCGAAGGCAGCUUACUAGGCUGUAACUGACGCUGAGGCACGAAAGUGUGGGGAUCAAACAGG